GGCCAUGGCGCUGCUAUACAUGCAGUCGAGCGAACAGAUAAGGAGCUUGCUCCUUUGACGUUAGCGGCGGACGGGUGAGUAACACGUGGGUAACCUACCUAUAAGACUGGAAUAACUCCGGGAAACCGGGGCUAAUGCCGGAUAACAUUUAGAACCGCAUGGUUCUAAAGUGAAAGAUGGUUUUGCUAUCACUUAUAGAUGGACCCGCGCCGUAUUAGCUAGUUGGUAAGGUAACGGCUUACCAAGGCAACGAUACGUAGCCGACCUGAGAGGGUGAUCGGCCACACUGGAACUGAGACACGGUCCAGACUCCUACGGGAGGCAGCAGUAGGGAAUCUUCCGCAAUGGGCGAAAGCCUGACGGAGCAACGCCGCGUGAGUGAUGAAGGUCUUCGGAUCGUAAAACUCUGUUAUUAGGGAAGAACAAAUGUGUAAGUAACUAUGCACGUCUUGACGGUACCUAAUCAGAAAGCCACGGCUAACUACGUGCCAGCAGCCGCGGUAAUACGUAGGUGGCAAGCGUUAUCCGGAAUUAUUGGGCGUAAAGCGCGCGUAGGCGGUUUCUUAAGUCUGAUGUGAAAGCCCACGGCUCAACCGUGGAGGGUCAUUGGAAACUGGGAAACUUGAGUGCAGAAGAGGAAAGUGGAAUUCCAUGUGUAGCGGUGAAAUGCGCAGAGAUAUGGAGGAACACCAGUGGCGAAGGCGACUUUCUGGUCUGUAACUGACGCUGAUGUGCGAAAGCGUGGGGAUCAAACAGGAUUAGAUACCCUGGUAGUCCACGCCGUAAACGAUGAGUGCUAAGUGUUAGGGGGUUUCCGCCCCUUAGUGCUGCAGCUAACGCAUUAAGCACUCCGCCUGGGGAGUACGACCGCAAGGUUGAAACUCAAGGAAUUGACGGGGACCCGCACAAGCGGUGGAGCAUGGUGGUUUAAUGUCGAAGCAACGCGAAGAACCUUACAAUCUUGGACAUCCUUUGACACUCUAGAGAUAGAAGCCUUCCCCUUCGGGGGACAAGUGGACAGGUGGUGCAUGAUGUCGUCAGCUCGUGUCGUGGAGAUGUUGGGUAGUUCCCGCAACGGAGCGCCACCCUUAAACCUAGUUUGCAAGCAUUUAGGUGGCACUUCUCUAAGUUUGAC
RNAcentral lists this ribosomal RNA (1135 nucleotides) under Staphylococcus haemolyticus. Its description in RNAcentral is "bacterial SSU rRNA". It matches the Rfam family "Bacterial small subunit ribosomal RNA", at positions 38 to 1149 of the family's 1533-position model. The record is from RNAcentral. Lineage: Bacteria; Bacillati; Bacillota; Bacilli; Caryophanales; Staphylococcaceae.